Molecule: long non-coding RNA, 229 nt
Filed under: Elaeis guineensis (African oil palm)
Lineage: Eukaryota; Viridiplantae; Streptophyta; Magnoliopsida; Arecales; Arecaceae
Description: long non-coding RNA (EGUI_LNC024525)
Source: RNAcentral
CAGGGGCGUCAAGAAUCCUGAUUUUGGCAGACCUGUGAGAUGGUCUCCUUGAAAAAUUUUGAGAGAGCUUUUGUGAGGAUAGCUUCUAGUUAAGAGAGAUGUAUAUGUUGCUCCUUGAAUUGAUUUUGAUAAUUACAAAGUAUUUGAGGGGGUUACUAAUGAUUUUGAUUUGGAAAAAGAUUUAUUAUUUUUCAGAAGCAAAAUCAUAAUUUCACCAAGUCCUAACUCG